RNAcentral lists this non-coding RNA (98 nucleotides) under Actinotalea ferrariae CF5-4. RNAcentral's name for it is "Cellulomonas sp. Mn5-4 Glycine riboswitch aptamer". It matches the Rfam family "Glycine riboswitch aptamer". Rfam says of the family: This family represents the bacterial glycine riboswitch. Lineage: Bacteria; Bacillati; Actinomycetota; Actinomycetes; Micrococcales; Cellulomonadaceae. The record is from Rfam by way of RNAcentral. RNAcentral also lists the same sequence under 1 other name.
CGAACCGUGACGGGAGAGCCCGCUGCCCAGCCAGGCAGCCGGCGCCGAAGGAGCAACCUCCCCGGGAAUCUCUCAGGCCCACGUACCGCCACGGUGAG